Ipomoea nil (Japanese morning glory) is the source of this 2497-nucleotide RNA transcript. RefSeq lists it as uncharacterized. Lineage: Eukaryota; Viridiplantae; Streptophyta; Magnoliopsida; Solanales; Convolvulaceae. The record is from RefSeq and is a predicted model, not a curated record. The transcript has 6 exons.
UAGACGUAAUUGUAUUUUCUUGCAUUUCUUCUCAUCGUGCAUAAACACCGCAUUUAGCGCAAUUAUUUUAGAGACUUUAGGGUUUCUGCUCCAGUGCUCCGCCCUGUGAUAAGCUUUCCUCCGCCACACCGCCCUCCGCCUCUACUUCGACGUUUCGCCAUUGCUGCUCAGUGGUAUUCCUUGAUCUAACACCGCAACGCCACACAUUUUUCAUGGAUUGUGUUGAUUUCUAUUCUCUUUUUGAGGAUUCGGAUGGGAGGACUAUUAGUUCGCCUGCUGCUUCAGAAUUUGACUUUGUCAUUGUGGGUUCUAAUGUUGUCAAUGGGGAUAUGUUGCUUAGGAAAAGUAUACUACAGCAAUGGGCUCUGCUACGCGCAAGAGAACACGUUCACAAACAUGGGCAAUUUUGAGCUCUCAAGCUGCAGAGGCAUCACAACCCUCUCAAGCUGCAGAGGAACAGAACACUGUGGUCAAAUCUAAAACAAAAGCCAAGAGACAAAGAACAACAAGGGCCGUACUCAAUUCGCAAUCUGCUGAACCAUCCCAGCAGCAGCUUGAGGAGCUGCUCCAGCAUGAAGUAAUAAGAGAAAAAAGGUCAAAACAAAUUAAUGAUAGGCAUAAGGGCAAAGAAGCCCAUCUUGUCCCAAAUAAUGGGGAAGGGGAACAUGCAGAUAAUGAUGCAGAAGGGAGUGCUACUCCCUACUUCAGCACGCGAAUGGGGCCAAAGACCAUGUUCAAGUUUGUACAGAAACUAACGCCAGAACAAAAACAAUCUGUGCGUGAUAUUGGUUUUGGAGCCCUGUUGAACCUUCAGCUAUGCACAAGUGAUUCACAGUUAGUGCAGUAUUUGCUUGACAACUUUGAGCUUUACCAAACACAUUUCAAAUUGGAGAAUGAUAAGCUCACUGUUGAAGAAGAGGACAUAAAGUACACUCUUGGCAUUCCACGGGGAGAAAAGGUGGUUGUUGAGGGCCCAAAGUAUGAUGAACAAGGAAGACCAAAGUACAGAGCUCUGUUACAAAGUUGGAGGACAAGGUGGAAUAUUAAAAUUGGUUCCCCAAUCACAACCAAAAUGGGGGAUGUGAUUGUUAAAAGAGGAGAUUAUGGUGAUGAAUUUAAAAGGGGCUUCAUGGUCUUGACUGUUUCAUGCAUGAUGCGAGGAUUUCAGACACGCCGCUGCAACCAUAAAAUACUCAACUCCUUGGUUAAUGUUGAUGAAAUAAAGGAAUACAACUGGUGUAACUACACCUACAACUCUCUUAUCAAAUCCAUUAAGAAGUACAAAAAAAAAAGUAAUGGAUUUUUUACUGACCGUUGACAUUCAUACUGCUAUUCUACUUUGAUUGGGUCCAAUUCAAAGGGAUGAGAGUUGAGAGAACAUAUCCAAGCAUAACUGCAUGAACAAAAAAGCUUGCAAGACAAAGAGUUUCUGCGGAAAGAAGGUCAGGUGGAUAUGGUAAAGGGAAAGUUAUCCCGCGUGUUGCAAAGCCUACUGCUCCUGAUGCUCAUGAUGCUAUUGCUUCUACUUCAAACCAACCUGCUGCUCCUGAUGCUAUUGCUUCUACUUCAAACCAACCUGCUGCUACUGAUGCUCAUCCGACGGUCCCAAGAGUCUCUGUGCCGCCAUCCAGUGUUGAUAGAGUCACACAAGUGCUACGGCGGCUUACUGUUGAUGUCUUGGAGUUUGGAGAGGCAAUGGCUGAAGUUGGCAAACAAAAUGCCCCUGUGGAUGUUAUGAAGACCGCCUUUUCUGGAAUUUCUACCAUGAUCACCGUGGCAAGUACGAUAGACAGACCACCAACCCCAACCUUCUCUCAACUUGAUGACAUCUUCUUCGGCCAGGAGUCUUUCACAAAGGCCGUUGAUGCUUUGGUUGAAGCUUUUCAAAAGACCACCAAGAAAAUGGAGUUUGAACCUCCAUCAUUUGAUUUGGGAAUUUCUUAUACCCCGGCACCAUUGGUUGAAGAACCACAAGAGCAGUGCACGUUGGAUGAACAGCAAUUGGAUGCCCUGCUACACCUGCUGCUACACAUGCUACUACUCCUGCUGUUACACAUGCUGCUACCCCUGCUGCUUCAACAUCUGAAACCCAAGAAAUAACUCCAUAUAUUAGGGUGCCAUUCCCCAAAGAUGUCCCUGGUGAUGCUGAUGCUGCUACACUUGCUCAGCAGCACUUGCUGCUAACCUUGAUGAUAUUGAUAGUGCAUUUCUGGAGAGCGAAUCCGAUGUUGAAGAUGUCACUGUCCGAAAGAGACCAAUCCGAAAAUUAAAAAACAUCUCGCUGAAUUUGAGGUCACCUUUUUGGACAAAGAAUGCACCAUUGUCCAUAAUGCUAGUGCCACAGAGAAGGCCGUAUCAAACUAUGCCUUCAUGGAUGCUUCUGCAAAUCAUCCAAGAUGAAACUCUAUUUAGCUUUGAUGAUUUCUCUAUGACACGGAGAGAUUUCCACACACUAAGCAACGGUAAAAUUUUUAACACCUUCAUUGAUGUAUGAGCG